This 253-nucleotide ribosomal RNA is filed under the name uncultured bacterium. Its description in RNAcentral is "partial 16S ribosomal RNA". It matches the Rfam family "Bacterial small subunit ribosomal RNA", at positions 524 to 776 of the family's 1533-position model. The record is from RNAcentral.
UACGGAGGGGGCUAGCGUUGUUCGGAAUUACUGGGCGUAAAGCGCACGUAGGCGGCUUUGUAAGUUAGAGGUGAAAGCCCGGAGCUCAACUCCGGAAUUGCCUUUAAGACUGCAUCGCUAGAACGUCGGAGAGGUGAGUGGAAUUCCGAGUGUAGAGGUGAAAUUCGUAGAUAUCGUCUGGAACGCCAAAGGUGAAAACAGUCUGCUGGGGGCUUGCUGACGCUGAGACACGAAAGCCAGGGGAGCGAACGGG